Molecule: long non-coding RNA, 3952 nt
Organism: Hemicordylus capensis (graceful crag lizard)
Lineage: Eukaryota; Metazoa; Chordata; Lepidosauria; Squamata; Cordylidae
Exons: 3
Source: RefSeq, a predicted model, not a curated record
CUGUUUUAUUUUUAUUUUGCAAUACCAACUGCUUCUCCCCUGGCCCCCAAGUUACCAGCACUCUAGUGAAUGAACUGGUUGCUGUCCUGCCUGCCCCGCCCCACUGCUCUUUUCUGAUUUGGGGGGUUGGUGGCCGGCCCACCUGCUGGCCCCUAUCUGCCCUUCUCCCAGCUGUUGAGUGCCAGAGUGUGCUUGGCUUGGCCAGAUUGCCCGGAGAGCCUGGUCAGAAAGACUCCAGCUGAAGAUGCUGAAAGAAGAAGAUACCAGAUUGAUGACCCCCAGAGUUCUAAAUAGGGCCUAGUUUGGGGGAAGAGAUUUAUGUAGGUAGGCAGGAAGGUACUAGGCCUGGGUAGAAGAGGUAGGAGCUUGGGCCACAUAAUCCUCCCUUCCCUUAGACUUACCCCAUUGUUGCUUGCUUACCCCCCAGACAAGUCUUCUCCCCAAAUAAAGCCUGCUCCUUUAUUUGGGGGGGAUUUAAUUUUUCUAGCUUCCUUUUGUGUGCUACAGUGCUAUAGAUAGCACUGUGUGUGACAUACAAAGCAUAAUAAGUAGACCACCCCCAGCCUCACACUUCCUAAAGGCAUUUCCUUCUCCCACCCAGCAGAGCUUGGGCUUUAAUUUAGCACUCACAAGAUGUCCCUGAGGAUGCAGAGUAGAGCUAGGAGCAGAGUGGCAGGCAGAGGAAGGGGUGAUGCUGCUGGUUGCAGCGGGCGAAGGUGGUGAGAGAGGCCUACUCCCCAAGUAGCUGCCGUCCCCCUAGAGAUGCGCAGCUCACCUAUCUGGCGGUGUCACCUGCUCAUGCAACAUAGCCACCUGGGUGGCGGAGGUAGAUAUGAGGGGGGGUCCCCUGUCACUGAAGAAGCUCUUCUCAUAGCAGCGGAGGAGGAGGUAUCAUUGGCUGCUAGCCCAGCAGCCAGAUUGCUCUCUCCAUCUUCCUCCCCAUCCCUGUUGACGGUACCUCACCUGAGGCUGAGGAAGACCAGGGGGAAGUCAUUCUGGUUCUUCCUGGGUCUUAGCUCCAGACUGAGGGCAGUGGUGGUGGUGACCACCACUGCCCUAUGUUUGUUUGAAGGAUCCCUAACAACUGGGCAGUGUGUGGCUCCAUUCUGCACCAAACCCAUCCAUGGAAAGAUAGGUGACCACUAUUGCAGCCUGACUGAAAUAAGCUGGGAAAGGGGAGGAAAUUUUACUAAGUUAACCAAAUGCUUUAUUCUCUCUCUCUCUCUACCCACAGCAAAUCAGCUAAAUUCCCUAUGUAUAGCUUGCUUGCUGCUCUUUGGACUAAUAUGCACAAUUAUUCUGAACACAGACAUGUCAUUUCUAAUUUGCUUUAUAGGAGCCUACUGAUGUUUAAUGUAGAAUGAGAAAUUCCAAUGGACAAAGUAAAGAUUAUAAGAUGGCAUACGCUUGGCUAAUCCUGUGUGUGGCAGCUCUCACGAGAGUUCGUAAGCAGAAGCACCUGAUUGGGCAGUGGGGAUUUGAUAUGCAGAUAGGGAGGAGAAGCCUGUGAUGAUUAAGGGCUGAGCAACAACACUCAACAUUUUCCACAUACAUCUUCAGCAGUAUCUAAAAUGCCUUCCAUUUUCAGCAUUUUUUGGGCAUUCUUUGUGAAAUAUUUGCUGUUCAUUUGCAAUGCCCUCUUUUGCUCUCUCAUUUAACCUGUGGUCUCAGAGACAUCAUCAAAAAUGUGGCUGGAUGGAUUUAGUACUGUCAGAACAUCUAACACAUGAUCCCUGACUGGCUGGAAUAACUCAUAAAUGUCUAAUAAAGUUUCUGAUCUUCCAUGGCUGGGCAAGGUGAUUGAGCAGGUGAUGCCCUCUCAGCUCCAGGAAGAUUUUACUGAUUAUCUAGAUCCAUUUCAAACCAACUUCUGAGUGGGCUAUGGGGUUGAGACUGCCUUGGUCGGCCUGAUGGAUGAUCUCCAAUUAGCUAUCAACAGAGGGAGUGUGAGUCUGCUGAUCCUUUUGGAUCUCUCAGUGGUUUUCUAUACUAUCGACCCUGGUAUCCUUCUGAGUCACCUACAUGAGGUGGGAUUGGGUGGCAUUGUUUUACAGUGGUUCCAUUCCUACCUCUCUGGCAGAUUCCAGAUGGUGUCAUUUGGAAUCUGUUGCUUUGCAAAGAAAGAAAUAAAGGAUGGAGUUCCACAAGGCUCCAUACUGAGGAUCUCCACACAAACAGUGUGGAGAGCCUAACCGGGCUCUGAGGGGAGAGCGGUCUUAGCUCGCUCUCCCUGCAGAUGAGCAGGGAGCUUGCCCUGGGUGGCCGGACUGGCCGCCCACAUGACUACCAGCUCCAUCAUGGAACCAGUAGGGGCGGUGGGGAUCGGGGGCCACCUGGCCCCCCGAAGUCGCAGAAUGCCCCACAUGAGUGCAUGGGGCAUUCUGGGGAGACCCCCAAGGCUGGGAGGCUUGUUGGAGCCUUCCAGUCGGGGGUCUCUAUGUGAGUCGCCGCAGCACGGAGCUGCGCCAUGGCGACUCACGGUUACUUCUAACCUCGUUUAAGGGGGGGAACUUAAGCGGGCUGCCAGGAGCUGCAUGGCUCCCGGCGGUUCCCCUGACAGCAGGAAAGCAAGCUGGGCUCCCUUAGCCCGCUUUCCUGUGGUUGUUAGAAUAACCUUACUGUCUCCAAUGGUCUAACAUUAACCCCUGCUAACUGGGCAGAGAGGCACCUUUUACCUUUAUUCUCUUUAUUUAGCAGGGGGAGAGUAACUGGCCCUAUCCACCCCCAGCACAGUACUUCCAGUGAUUGUUGCUGGUGUGUGUCUUAGGUUUCUUUUUAGAAUGUGAGCCCUUUGGGGACAGGGAGCCAUCUUAUUUGUUUUAUUUCUCUUUGUAAACUGCCCUGAGCCAUUUUUGGAAGGGCGGUAUAGAAAUUGAAUUAAUAAUAAUAAUAACAAUAACAAUAACAUCUACAUGCCACUUGCAGAGAUCAUCAGGAGAUAUGGUAUAAUGUGCUACCAGUAUGCUGAUAAACCCACAUCUAUUUCUCCUUAUCAACUUCAUCAGGAAAUGACACAAUUUCCCUAAAUGCCUGCCUGGAUGCAGUAAUGGGCUGGAUGAGGGAUAACAAACUCAAGUUGAAUCAAAAUAAGAUGGAGGUACUGAUUGUGGGGGUCAAAACCUGAGAGAUGGUUAAACCCCAUCUGCCUGUUCUGGAUGUGGUUACACUCCCCCUGAAAGAUCAGGUAUGUAACUUGGGAGUGUUCCUUGAUCCAAAACUCUCUCUGGUUUCUCAGGUUGAGGCAGUUGCCAGGAAGGCUUUUUAUUAGCUUCAGCUGAUAUGUCAGCCACGUCUACUUCUAAAGGUAAAUGACCUUAAAAGAACAGUACAUAUGUUGGUAACCUCCAGGCUUGACUUCUGUAAUGCAGUCUACUUGGGGCUGCCUUUGUAUGUUGUCCAGAAACUACAACUGGUAUAGAAUGCCAGAAUGUGGUAGCUACGUUGGUCUUUGGGACAACUGGAAGGGACCAUAUAACACUGGUUCUGAAAGAAUUGCACUGGCUGCCAAUAUGUUUCUGAACAAAAUACAAAGUGCUGGUCAUUAUCUAUAAAGCCCUAAAUGGCUUAGGUCCAGGGUAUUUAAGAGACCUCCUUCUUUGUCAUACACCCUGCUGCCUAUUAAGAUCAUCUGGGGAGGUACGGUUAUGAUUGCCGCCAGCUCGUCUGGUGGUGACAUGUAGCUGGGCCUUCUCUGAGGCUGCUCUAGGGCUUUGGAAUGCACUCCCUGUCCAAAUAAGAGCUUCUCCAUCUCUGACUGCUUUUAAAAAAUACCAUUAAGACACACCCACACUUUUAAUUAAAAUUAAUUUUAAAUGGUUUAAUUCGAUGAAAUUGUUUGAAUUGUUUCACUCUGUGAAUUGUUUUUAAUCUGUGAAACUGUUUUGUUUGUUAUUAUUUUACAUUGUAAUUUGGACUGUGUGCAUCGCCUAGAGAUGUAUAUAUCAACAGUAUA